UGGGGAAUAUUGGACAAUGGGCGCAAGCCUGAUCCAGCCAUGCCGCGUGAGUGAUGAAGGCCCUAGGGUUGUAAAGCUCUUUCACCGGUGAAGAUAAUGACGGUAACCGGAGAAGAAGCCCCGGCUAACUUCGUGCCAGCAGCCGCGGUAAUACGAAGGGGGCUAGCGUUGUUCGGAUUUACUGGGCGUAAAGCGCACGUAGGCGGACUUUUAAGUCAGGGGUGAAAUCCCGGGGCUCAACCCCGGAACUGCCUUUGAUACUGGAAGUCUUGAGUAUGGUAGAGGUGAGUGGAAUUCCGAGUGUAGAGGUGAAAUUCGUAGAUAUUCGGAGGAACACCAGUGGCGAAGGCGGCUCACUGAACCAUUACUGACGCUGAGGUGCGAAAGCGUGGGGAGCAAACAGG
This 404-nucleotide ribosomal RNA is filed under the name Brucella melitensis. RNAcentral describes it as "partial 16S ribosomal RNA". It matches the Rfam family "Bacterial small subunit ribosomal RNA", at positions 355 to 776 of the family's 1533-position model. RNAcentral also lists the same sequence under 1 other name. The record is from RNAcentral. Lineage: Bacteria; Pseudomonadati; Pseudomonadota; Alphaproteobacteria; Hyphomicrobiales; Brucellaceae.